This 253-nucleotide ribosomal RNA is filed under the name uncultured bacterium. RNAcentral's name for it is "partial 16S ribosomal RNA". It matches the Rfam family "Bacterial small subunit ribosomal RNA", at positions 524 to 776 of the family's 1533-position model. The record is from RNAcentral.
UACGGGGGGGGCAAGCGUUGUUCGGAAUUACUGGGCGUAAAGGGUGCGUAGGCGGGUCUUUAAGUCAGGGGUGAAAUCCUGGAGCUCAACUCCAGAACUGCCUUUGAUACUGAAGAUCUUGAGUUCGGGAGAGGUGAGUGGAACUGCGAGUGUAGAGGUGAAAUUCGUAGAUAUUCGCAAGAACACCAGUGGCGAAGGCGGCUCACUGGCCCGAUACUGGCGCUGAGGCACGAAAGCGUGGGGAGCAAACAGG